RNAcentral lists this ribosomal RNA (404 nucleotides) under Fusobacteriota bacterium. RNAcentral's name for it is "Fusobacteria bacterium partial 16S ribosomal RNA". It matches the Rfam family "Bacterial small subunit ribosomal RNA", at positions 355 to 776 of the family's 1533-position model. The record is from RNAcentral. Lineage: Bacteria; Fusobacteriati; Fusobacteriota.
UGGGGAAUAUUGCACAAUGGAGGGAACUCUGAUGCAGCGACGCCGCGUGAGUGAUGAAGGAAUUCGUUUCGUAAAACUCUGUUCUAUGGGAAGAAAAGGACUGUACCAUAGUAGAAAGCUCCGGCUAAAUACGUGUCAGCAGCUGCGGUAAUACGUAUGGAGCGAGCGUUGUCCGGAACUAUUGAGCGUAAAGGGUGCGCAGGCGGCUUUACAAGUUGGAUGUGAAAUAUUGUGGCUCAGCCACAAACGUGCAUCCAAAACUGCAAAGCUUGAGUUAAGGAGAGGUAAGUGGAAUUCCUGGUGUAGCGGUAGAAUGCGUAGAUAUCAGGAGGAAUACCGGUGGCAAAGGCGACUUACUGGACUUAAACUGCCACUCAGGCACGAAAGCGUGGGGAGCAAACAGG